CUACGGGUCGCUGCAGUGGGGAAUAUUGGGCAAUGGGCGAAAGCCUGACCCAGCAACGCCGCGUGAAGGAAGAAGGUUUUCGGAUCGUAAACUUCUAUCCCAGGUGAAGAUAAUGACGGUAGCCUGGAAGGAAGCCCCGGCUAACUACGUGCCAGCAGCCGCGGUAAUACGUAGGGGGCAAGCGUUGUCCGGAAUGAUUGGGCGUAAAGGGCGCGUAGGCGGCCUUCUAAGUCCGAUGGGAAAGUCCUGCUUUUAAGGUGGGAAUUGCAUUGGAAACUGGAGGGCUUGAGUGCAGGAGAGGUGAGUGGAAUUCCCGGUGUAGCGGUGAAAUGCGUAGAGAUCGGGAGGAACACCAGUGGCGAAGGCGACUUACUGGACUGUAACUGACGCUGAGGCGCGAAAGUGUGGGGAGCAAACAGGAUUAGAUACCCCUGUAGUC
This 439-nucleotide ribosomal RNA is filed under the name uncultured bacterium. RNAcentral's name for it is "partial 16S ribosomal RNA". It matches the Rfam family "Bacterial small subunit ribosomal RNA", at positions 339 to 795 of the family's 1533-position model. The record is from RNAcentral.